RNAcentral lists this ribosomal RNA (253 nucleotides) under uncultured bacterium. RNAcentral describes it as "partial 16S ribosomal RNA". It matches the Rfam family "Bacterial small subunit ribosomal RNA", at positions 524 to 776 of the family's 1533-position model. The record is from RNAcentral.
UACGUAGGGUGCAAGCGUUGUCCGGAAUUAUUGGGCGUAAAGAGCUCGUAGGCGGUCUGUCGCGUCGGCUGUGAAAACCCGAGGCUCAACCGCGGGCCUGCAGCCGAUACGGGCAGGCUAGAGUUCGGUAGGGGAGACUGGAAUUCCUGGUGUAGCGGUGAAAUGCGCAGAUAUCAGGAGGAACACCGAUGGCGAAGGCAGGUCUCUGGGCCGAUACUGACGCUGAGGAGCGAAAGCGUGGGGAGCGAACAGG